This 253-nucleotide ribosomal RNA is filed under the name uncultured bacterium. Its description in RNAcentral is "partial 16S ribosomal RNA". It matches the Rfam family "Bacterial small subunit ribosomal RNA", at positions 524 to 776 of the family's 1533-position model. The record is from RNAcentral.
CACGUAGGGCGCAAGCGUUGUCCGGAAUUAUUGGGCGUAAAGAGCUCGUAGGCGGUUUGUUGCGUCUAUCGUGAAAACCUGCGGCUUAACUGUGGGCUUGCGGUGGAUACGGGCAGACUUGAGUUCGGUAGGGGAGACUGGAAUUCCUGGUGUAGCGGUGAAAUGCGCAGAUAUCAGGAGGAACACCGGUGGCGAAGGCGGCGACCUGGUCCUUGACUGACGCUGAAGCGCGAAAGCGUGGGGAGCAAACAGG